GCCGCGGUGGUGGAAUUGGUAGACACGCUGGUCUUAGGAACCAGUGCCUUNUGGCGUGAAGGUUCGAGUCCUUUCCGCGGCACNA
This 85-nucleotide transfer RNA is filed under the name Fidelibacterota bacterium. RNAcentral's name for it is "tRNA-Leu". It matches the Rfam family "tRNA". From Rfam's summary of the family: Transfer RNA (tRNA) molecules are approximately 80 nucleotides in length. Their secondary structure includes four short double-helical elements and three loops (D, anti-codon, and T loops). Lineage: Bacteria; Pseudomonadati; Fidelibacterota. The record is from RNAcentral.